CAUGUAUUUAUUUAUUUAGCCAUAACCUAUGUGGUACUGUUUGGUUGUUAGCACUGCGUUCGACGUAAUCGACUUACUCCUCCCUCGAACUUGCCGGCCUUGUGCCAAAAUUUAAAACCACUGUUAUACCAUUAUGCAUCAGGCGACGAGCUGACAGAAUCGUUAGCAUACCGAGAAAAAUGUGUAGCAGCAUUUCGUUCGUCUUUACAUUUUGAGUAUAAAUUCCGCCGAGGUCGACUUUGCCUUUCAUCCUUUCGGGGUAGAUAAAAUAAGUACCAGUUGAACAUUGGAGUCCAUAACUUAUCCCUCUCUCGAAAUUGCUGGCCGUGUACCAAAAUUUGAAACCGAUAUUAUACCAUUAUGUAAAUGAAUCGCACUUCAGAGUAUAUCUAUUUAUAUUUUUCCCCACCCCCACCCGAUACUAUCACUUGACAUGUUGGGAAGAGUAAGUUAUAUUCAUCCAGCUGAAUUGUCAGGUAACAAUAACGCCGACCUCAUAAGCAGAUGCAGAAAAGUCCCUCGCGAAGUGGUGUAGCUACUUGAUAACAACAACAUUAAAUACAUACAGAUAUCAAUUUUUCGUUGUGACGCACCUGCUAGAUGCUGCUUAAAUAUCAAAUUUUACUUAUUAGACAACGAAUGUAAUUGAUAAAUCAAUUUGUUCAAGGUUGCUGACCCCAAAACUGAAAUUGUGCCAAGGUAAACGGAGAAACGAAUGAUUUUCUUUCUAUAUUUGAGGAACACAUUUUAAAAAAACUUUACAAAGAGGAACACAGAUGUAUUAUAUUAUCUACAAACUCUAGUUCAACGCUUCAUGGUUAUUAAAUCAAAUUUCAUUCGA
Molecule: long non-coding RNA, 841 nt
Organism: Octopus bimaculoides (California two-spot octopus)
Lineage: Eukaryota; Metazoa; Mollusca; Cephalopoda; Octopoda; Octopodidae
Source: RefSeq, a predicted model, not a curated record